AGGCUCCGGGUGCAGAUACCUGGCGGGACCCAGUUAAGUGGGUACACUAUUCUAAAAUACUAUGACAAAUAUACAGGGAGGAUAACAGAGCAGUCCAAGUAAUAUAACAUGCUGUAGUGGUUAUAUUGUUUGGAUUGUUUUUUUUAAUAAGUGUCUUAUAUAAAAAAAAACAACAGAGAAAGAACUCCUAGGUGCACAACCUAAUUAAAUGUGAUCCGCACACCUAGGUAGACGUGUAUUAAUGUAGUAUCCUAGUUAGGGAUAGGUGAACGUUGUGUGACAAAGAGAGCUCAGUGAAAAGGGCUCCUGUUACAAUCGACCACUGUCAAAUUUUACUCAACCUUCCGAGGUCAAUAACUGGAAUACCAAUAGGUUGGUUAAAAGUAAAAUAAAAACUUUGAAAUCUCAGGACAUACUUGCACACUAAGAAAUUAGAGGAAUGCUAAAUUUAUCUUUCCCGGAUAAAUACUUUUAUAUUUUUUGGAAAAAUAAACAAAUUAUCGCCCAUGUCCUUAACUGAAAAACCCUAACUUUGUACAUUAGUACAGUUUAAAGCGGUGCCCAUCGAACGCUUACACAAUGACAGUUGGCACAGUCCUGAACCUUGCUGGCAAUCUAUCCACUAACCAACAGCAGAGAAACUGGUCACACAGUUGUCAGCAGUUUUCAUAAAAAACAGUAGUCCGCUCUAGGUUAAUUUUAAAAAAGAGGUAAGAGGGGACGUGGUGUGGGGUGGUGGUG
Molecule: non-coding RNA, 741 nt
Organism: Pelobates cultripes (western spadefoot toad)
Lineage: Eukaryota; Metazoa; Chordata; Amphibia; Anura; Pelobatidae
Source: the annotation of a GenBank genome assembly